ACUCAAUGAUGAGAUUAACUUCAGGUCCGUGUAUUUGACACACAUGAUAUUUUCUGAAGCUCUGAGUCG
RNAcentral lists this small nucleolar RNA (69 nucleotides) under Neogobius melanostomus (round goby). Its description in RNAcentral is "Small nucleolar RNA SNORD18 (ENSNMLG00000003830.1)". It matches the Rfam family "Small nucleolar RNA SNORD18". From Rfam's summary of the family: U18 is a member of the C/D class of snoRNA which contain the C (UGAUGA) and D (CUGA) box motifs. It is encoded in introns of ribosomal protein L1 in Xenopus and human, and in introns of elongation factor 1 beta in yeast. The record is from Rfam by way of RNAcentral. Lineage: Eukaryota; Metazoa; Chordata; Actinopteri; Gobiiformes; Gobiidae.